AAACAAUUGGAAAUUGUAACAAUGUAGUUUAUUUUUACAGAAUUAGGAAUAAGAUUCAGUAACUAUAUGAAAGAUGCUAAUCCGGCAACUAGAUUCUGUGGCAAUAAAAUCGAUGACAACCGCAGUUAUUUGAAAAACAUUAUAUAUUAGGAGAUUAACAUUUCAAUAUUUUGGCUGGGUUUAAUAGAAACAUAUUUUCAGCUACCAAGAAUUCACUAUUUUGCAGGCCCAGUCAUUAUUAAUUUAAAUAAUAUAUUAUUAUCAUUAUAUCAAGGAUUUUCCUUACAUGAUUUACAAAAAACAAAAUGCACUUACCUUUAAUGCGGGAGAAAAAAAAAUUCUUUAAUUUUUUUUGUUUUUAAUUCUAAAAGACACAUUUCUUGAAACAAACUGCAUACAUUUUCUACCUGCACAAUUAUAUAUUCUAACACAAUUUAACUCUUUCCCUUUUUUCAUUACUAUUGUUAUUAUUACUAUUUUUAAAUGUAUUUCCUUCAUUAUACAAUUUUAUAUAUGAACGUAAUACGUAUUGAUUAGU
Molecule: long non-coding RNA, 538 nt
Organism: Metopolophium dirhodum (rose-grain aphid)
Lineage: Eukaryota; Metazoa; Arthropoda; Insecta; Hemiptera; Aphididae
Exons: 3
Source: RefSeq, a predicted model, not a curated record